AAUUUGACGGUAUUAACUUUUACAAAGGAAUUUGUUUCUUAAUCGACAAUCCACGACCUAUCUUACUUAAUAUUUUUCUGUAUACCACCGUAUAUGAAAUUAUUCAAAAUAAAUUUCAAAAAAGAUCUCAAAUCUAAAAAAUCAGGUCAAGGUGCAAUUUUAUUAAGAAGAAAUGAAUUACAUUAACUUAUAUUUACCUAUAAUAGCUGAAACUCUAUUAAAAACAGAAUUUGUCAGUAAAAUUUUAUCAUCAUGAUAUUUUGAAAACUACCAUUAAUAUGUACAUAUCGCCCG
RNAcentral lists this ribosomal RNA (294 nucleotides) under Epiperipatus biolleyi. RNAcentral's name for it is "partial small subunit ribosomal RNA". Lineage: Eukaryota; Metazoa; Onychophora; Udeonychophora; Euonychophora; Peripatidae. The record is from RNAcentral.